RNAcentral lists this long non-coding RNA (220 nucleotides) under Gallus gallus (chicken). Lineage: Eukaryota; Metazoa; Chordata; Aves; Galliformes; Phasianidae. The record is from RNAcentral.
CAGCUUCUUAGGGUCAAGGGGUAGUGUCUUUGUGAAGGCAUCCCCUAGAAAUGCAACAGGAAGAAUGCUGACAUCCCCAUUGAUCUUCGUACAGUUUUUGAAGGAGUCGAUGUUUGUGGCAUUUAUGGAUAGGAUCCCUUUAAGUUCACCUAUUCCAAUGCCAUUGCACACUUUGCUACAUAGCCCAUCACAUUUUUUACACUUCCGAACACCAUUUUCU